GUAGUUUGAUCAUGGCUCAGGAUGAACGCUGGCGGCGUGCUUAACACAUGCAAGUCGAACGAAGCAUCUUAGAAUGAGUUUUCGGACAAGUGAAGAGAUGACUUAGUGGCGGACGGGUGAGUAACGCGUGGGUAACCUGCCUCGUACAGGGGGAUAACAGUUAGAAAUGACUGCUAAUACCGCAUAACCCGCUAAGGUCGCAUGACCUGGACGGAAAAGAUUUAUCGGUACGAGAUGGACCCGCGUCUGAUUAGCUAGUUGGUGAGGUAACGGCUCACCAAGGCGACGAUCAGUAGCCGGCCUGAGAGGGUGAACGGGCCACAUUGGGACUGAGACACGGCCCAAACUCCUACGGGAGGCAGCAGUGGGGAAUAUUGCACAAUGGGGGAAACCCUGAUGCAGCGACGCCGCGUGAGUGAAGAAGUAUUUCGGUAUGUAAAGCUCUAUCAGCAGGGAAGAAAAUGACGGUACCUGACUAAGAAGCCCCGGCUAACUACGUG
This 500-nucleotide ribosomal RNA is filed under the name uncultured bacterium. Its description in RNAcentral is "bacterial SSU rRNA". It matches the Rfam family "Bacterial small subunit ribosomal RNA", at positions 9 to 507 of the family's 1533-position model. The record is from RNAcentral.